CCUACGGGAGGCAGCAGUGGGGAAUAUUGGGCAAUGGGCGCAAGCCUGACCCAGCAACGCCGCGUGAAGGAAGAAGGCUUUCGGGUUGUAAACUUCUUUUCUCAGGGACGAAGCAAGUGACGGUACCUGCGUAAUAAGCCACGGCUAACUACGUGCCAGCAGCCGCGGUAAUACGUAGGUGGCACGCGUUAUCCGGAUUUACUGGGUGUAAGGGGCGUGUAGGCGGGAAAGCAAGUCAGAUGUGAAAACCAUGGGCUCAACCUGUGGACUGCAUUUGAAACUGUUUGUCUUGAGUACUGGAGAGGCAGACGGAAUUCCUAGUGUAGCGGUGAAAUGCGUAGAUAUUAGGAGGAACACCAGUGGCGAAGGCGGUCUGCUGGACAGCAACUGACGCUGAGGCGCGAAAGCGUGGGGAGCAAACAGGAUUAGAUACCCUAGUAGUC
RNAcentral lists this ribosomal RNA (443 nucleotides) under uncultured bacterium. RNAcentral's name for it is "partial 16S ribosomal RNA". It matches the Rfam family "Bacterial small subunit ribosomal RNA", at positions 338 to 795 of the family's 1533-position model. The record is from RNAcentral.